GUCCUUUCGGGCACAUUCGAUAAAAUUGGAAUCAUACAAAAAAGAUUAGCGCACGGAUGACGCACACAAAUUCGAGAAAUAGUCCAAUUUUUU
Molecule: small nuclear RNA, 93 nt
Filed under: Brassica oleracea var. oleracea
Lineage: Eukaryota; Viridiplantae; Streptophyta; Magnoliopsida; Brassicales; Brassicaceae
Source: RNAcentral